This 472-nucleotide ribosomal RNA is filed under the name uncultured bacterium. Its description in RNAcentral is "bacterial SSU rRNA". It matches the Rfam family "Bacterial small subunit ribosomal RNA", at positions 32 to 478 of the family's 1533-position model. The record is from RNAcentral.
AAUCAACGCUGGCGGCGUGCCUCAGACAUGCAAGUCGAACGCGAAAGUUUCCUUCGGGAAGCGAGUAGAGUGGCGUCCGGGUGAGUAACACGUAGGUAAUCUACCUUUGGGUGGGGAAUAACAACCGGAAACGGUUGCUAAUACCGCAUAAUGCAGCGGCACCACAUGGUGACAGUUGUUAAAGCGGGGGAUCGCAAGACCUCGCGCCUAAAGAGGAGCCUGCGGCGGAUUAGCUAGNGGUAAGGUAACGGCUUACCAAGGCAACGAUCCGUAGCCGGCCUGAGAGGGCGGUCGGCCACACUGACACUGAAAUACGGGUCAGACUCCUACGGGAGGCAGCAGUCGGGAAUUUUGGGCAAUGGGCGAAAGCCUGACCCAGCAACGCCGCGUGAAGGAUGAAAUCCCUCGGGAUGUAAACUUCGCAAGAACAGGAAGAAUAAGUAGGGGACAAUACCCCCUAUGAUGACGGUAC